This is a long non-coding RNA of Hibiscus syriacus, 117 nucleotides long. RefSeq lists it as uncharacterized. Lineage: Eukaryota; Viridiplantae; Streptophyta; Magnoliopsida; Malvales; Malvaceae. The transcript is spliced from 3 exons. The record is from RefSeq and is a predicted model, not a curated record.
UCAGUUCAUCCUCAAAGUUGGAACCCUAUGUGGUCUGUAUCCAGCAUACUUACCACCGGGCUUCUCUCUUUCAUGAUGGAUACCAGUCCUACCUCUGGCAGUGUGAACACUACUGCU